Molecule: microRNA precursor, 163 nt
Filed under: Oryza brachyantha (malo sina)
Lineage: Eukaryota; Viridiplantae; Streptophyta; Magnoliopsida; Poales; Poaceae
Description: MIR812 microRNA precursor family
Rfam family: MIR812 microRNA precursor family
Source: Rfam by way of RNAcentral
UACAAUAUUUUGACUCUUUAUCUUAUUUAAAAUUUUUUUAUAAUUGAUAUUUUUAUUUUUAUUAGAUGAUAAAACAUAAAUAGUGUUUUAUGCGUGACUAAUUUUUUAAAAUUUUUUAUAAAUUUUUUAAAUAAGAUGAAUGUUUAAACGUUAGACAUGGAAA